This 166-nucleotide ribosomal RNA is filed under the name uncultured bacterium. RNAcentral describes it as "partial 16S ribosomal RNA". It matches the Rfam family "Bacterial small subunit ribosomal RNA", at positions 356 to 514 of the family's 1533-position model. The record is from RNAcentral.
GGGGAAUAUUGGACAAUGGGCGCAAGCCUGAUCCAGCAAUACCGCGUGUGUGAAGAAGGCCUUCGGGUUGUAAAGCACUUUUAUAUGGGAAGAAGUGUGGUGUGUUAAUAGCGCAUUGCAUUGACGGUACCAUAGGAAUAAGCACCGGCUAACUCCGUGCCAGCAG